RNAcentral lists this long non-coding RNA (1104 nucleotides) under Anser brachyrhynchus (Pink-footed goose). RNAcentral's name for it is "lncRNA (ENSABRG00000012891.1)". The record is from RNAcentral. Lineage: Eukaryota; Metazoa; Chordata; Aves; Anseriformes; Anatidae.
GCUGGAAGAAGUGUCUGUCAAGGACUGUGGAGACCUUUCUCUUCCCAUCCACAACGUUGUCGGCCGAGUAGAACAUAUGGAAUUGCAAUUUGGCCAGGAGAAAGUGCUGUGUUCAGCACUGGUUGUAGAUGAUGAAAUGCUGGAGUUUUGCAUUGGUCUCCAAACUCUGUUGUCUCUCAAGGUAAGGAACAGUUUCUUGCUUUUUGCAGGCCUCCUCUCACUGAGUCCUCCAGAUUUGGUUGCUGGAAGCAUUGAAAAUUCACAUGGUCAGGCCUUCCAGAGUGCCACUUGCAGUGCUUGUUGCACAGCUACCAACCACACAAGCUGCAAAAUGGGAAGAGGAAACUGAAGAGGAAACUGGGAAAGGCAGGGCACACUGUAUCACUUGAGAUAUAUCCGUGUUGCCUUUUGAAUACAGAUGGGAACAAGCAUUGGCUUUGAGCCAAGUGAAGCUGUACUGCUACAUUCAACAGACAUUAGCUGGGCAUAGAUGGAGGGAGUCCUCUCCUUUUGUCAGCUCAGAGCUCAAGAUUAGGGUUCUGCUGAGCUUGGCUUCUGAGCCCCUCAGAACACGGCUGCAGGAAGGUUGUGCCUGCCCGUCAAAUACCAUGUAGCCACAUGGUUGGAUUCAUAAAGCAGGAAAAGCACUGGACUGAAAGGCUGAGUGAUGUGAGGACAUCAUCUCAGAUGAGGUCAGAUGGGAAGAAGGGAGUGGGACAGACUGCCCUGUGAAGGGUUUAGAGAUGAACUAACUGGAGGGAAUAGGAGCAAGGAGGCUGCACAGGGGACAGGGAGGGGAACUGUGAGGUUGCUACAAAUCCAAAGUGGGGAUGUUUAAUGGUUAUACAGGUUUUCCCCUGUCAGACAUGAUGAGACUGAGGUACUUGCUACCUGAAAUGUCCAGCAAGUAACCAGCUUUCCCCUUCUUAGUGUUGCAUCGACUUGGAGGAAGGAGUCCUGAGAUUUAAAACACUGAAUCAAGAUUUGCCUUUUCUACAUGCUUUUGAAGAGCCUGGUCAGUGACUGACUGUGUUCCCCGUGUCUGGGGCUGAGAAGACUUGCUGCCAUAUGAGAGAGAUGAGGGUGAGGUUCACGUGCCCCUAA